UUAAGCUCCCUAAAGGGUCGUUGGAGACUACAACGUUGAUAGGUUGGGUGUGGAAGUGCUGCGAGGCAUUGAGCUAACCAAUACUAAUUACCCGUGAGGCUUAACCAUACAACACCCAAGUGGUUUUCA
This 129-nucleotide ribosomal RNA is filed under the name Colwellia sp. 6M3. RNAcentral's name for it is "partial 23S ribosomal RNA". The stretch from base 1 to 108 matches the Rfam family "Bacterial large subunit ribosomal RNA", at positions 2820 to 2925 of the family's 2925-position model. The record is from RNAcentral. Lineage: Bacteria; Pseudomonadati; Pseudomonadota; Gammaproteobacteria; Alteromonadales; Colwelliaceae.